UACGGGAGGCAGCAGUGGGGAAUAUUGCACAAUGGGCGCAAGCCUGAUGCAGCCAUGCCGCGUGUAUGAAAAAGGCCUUCGGGUUGUAAAGUACUUUCAGUCGUGAGGAAGGUGUUAAGGUUAAUAACCUUAGCAAUUGACGUUAGCGACAGAAGAAGCACCGGCUAACUCCGUGCCAGCAGCCGCGGUAAUACGGAGGGUGCGAGCGUUAAUCGGAAUUACUGGGCGUAAAGGGCACGCAGGCGGUUAAUUAAGUUGGAUGUGAAAUCCCCGGGCUUAACCUGGGAAUGGCAUUCAAGACUGGUUAGCUAGAGUCUUGUAGAGGGGGUAGAAUUCCAUGUGUAGCGGUGAAAUGCGUAGAGAUGUGGAGGAAUACCGGUGGCGAAGGCGGCCCCUGGACAAAGACUGACGCUCGAUGUGCGAAAGCGUGGGGAGCAAACAGGGAUUUAGAUACC
Molecule: ribosomal RNA, 455 nt
Filed under: uncultured bacterium
Lineage: Bacteria
Description: bacterial SSU rRNA
Rfam family: Bacterial small subunit ribosomal RNA
Source: RNAcentral